CCGGCAAACUCCGUGCCAGCAGCCGCGGUAAUACGGAGGGUGCAAGCGUUAAUCGGAAUUACUGGGCGUAAAGCGCGCGUAGGCGGUUUGUUAAGUCGGAUGUGAAAGCCCUGGGCUCAACCUGGGAACUGCAUUCGAUACUGAUCGACUAGAGUACGAGAGAGGGAGGUAGAAUUCCACGUGUAGCGGUGAAAUGCGUAGAUAUGUGGAGGAAUACCGGUGGCGAAGGCGGCCUCCUGGCUCGAUACUGACGCUGAGGUGCGAAAGCGUGGGUAGCAAACAGGAUUAGAUACCCUGGUAGUCCACGCCGA
This 311-nucleotide ribosomal RNA is filed under the name uncultured bacterium. RNAcentral's name for it is "bacterial SSU rRNA". It matches the Rfam family "Bacterial small subunit ribosomal RNA", at positions 493 to 803 of the family's 1533-position model. The record is from RNAcentral.